Non-coding RNA from Vicia faba (fava bean), 234 nucleotides. NCBI's taxonomy places the organism in Eukaryota, Viridiplantae, Streptophyta, Magnoliopsida, Fabales, Fabaceae. The record is from the annotation of a GenBank genome assembly.
AUGUUUUUCACAACAGAACCAAAAAAUGUGCAUAUAUUUUCUCUUAUGUGUAUGUACAUGCUUAUGGUGUGCAUCAACUAUUGGUUCUUUGGUUGUCCAAAUGAAAAUAUAACAACCAUUCUUUGGAAAUUAAGAAUAAAUAAACAACUUUCUUUUGAAUCAUUCAAUUUAUUGAUUAAAUUAAAUGAAGAGGAACUUUAUUGUGUAGUUUGCUAUCUUCUUUUAAAAUGUUAA